Molecule: ribosomal RNA, 2905 nt
Filed under: Escherichia coli
Lineage: Bacteria; Pseudomonadati; Pseudomonadota; Gammaproteobacteria; Enterobacterales; Enterobacteriaceae
Description: 23S ribosomal RNA
Rfam family: Bacterial large subunit ribosomal RNA
Source: RNAcentral
GGUUAAGCGACUAAGCGUACACGGUGGAUGCCCUGGCAGUCAGAGGCGAUGAAGGACGUGCUAAUCUGCGAUAAGCGUCGGUAAGGUGAUAUGAACCGUUAUAACCGGCGAUUUCCGAAUGGGGAAACCCAGUGUGAUUCGUCACACUAUCAUUAACUGAAUCCAUAGGUUAAUGAGGCGAACCGGGGGAACUGAAACAUCUAAGUACCCCGAGGAAAAGAAAUCAACCGAGAUUCCCCCAGUAGCGGCGAGCGAACGGGGAGGAGCCCAGAGCCUGAAUCAGUGUGUGUGUUAGUGGAAGCGUCUGGAAAGGCGCGCGAUACAGGGUGACAGCCCCGUACACAAAAAUGCACAUACUGUGAGCUCGAUGAGUAGGGCGGGACACGUGGUAUCCUGUCUGAAUAUGGGGGGACCAUCCUCCAAGGCUAAAUACUCCUGACUGACCGAUAGUGAACCAGUACCGUGAGGGAAAGGCGAAAAGAACCCCGGCGAGGGGAGUGAAAAAGAACCUGAAACCGUGUACGUACAAGCAGUGGGAGCACGCUUCGGCGUGUGACUGCGUACCUUUUGUAUAAUGGGUCAGCGACUUAUAUUCUGUAGCAAGGUUAACCGAAUAGGGGAGCCGAAGGGAAACCGAGUCUUAACUGGGCGUUAAGUUGCAGGGUAUAGACCCGAAACCCGGUGAUCUAGCCAUGGGCAGGUUGAAGGUUGGGUAACACUAACUGGAGGACCGAACCGACUAAUGUUGAAAAAUUAGCGGAUGACUUGUGGCUGGGGGUGAAAGGCCAAUCAAACCGGGAGAUAGCUGGUUCUCCCCGAAAGCUAUUUAGGUAGCGCCUCGUGAAUUCAUCUCCGGGGGUAGAGCACUGUUUCGGCAAGGGGGUCAUCCCGACUUACCAACCCGAUGCAAACUGCGAAUACCGGAGAAUGUUAUCACGGGAGACACACGGCGGGUGCUAACGUCCGUCGUGAAGAGGGAAACAACCCAGACCGCCAGCUAAGGUCCCAAAGUCAUGGUUAAGUGGGAAACGAUGUGGGAAGGCCCAGACAGCCAGGAUGUUGGCUUAGAAGCAGCCAUCAUUUAAAGAAAGCGUAAUAGCUCACUGGUCGAGUCGGCCUGCGCGGAAGAUGUAACGGGGCUAAACCAUGCACCGAAGCUGCGGCAGCGACACUAUGUGUUGUUGGGUAGGGGAGCGUUCUGUAAGCCUGCGAAGGUGUACUGUGAGGUAUGCUGGAGGUAUCAGAAGUGCGAAUGCUGACAUAAGUAACGAUAAAGCGGGUGAAAAGCCCGCUCGCCGGAAGACCAAGGGUUCCUGUCCAACGUUAAUCGGGGCAGGGUGAGUCGACCCCUAAGGCGAGGCCGAAAGGCGUAGUCGAUGGGAAACAGGUUAAUAUUCCUGUACUUGGUGUUACUGCGAAGGGGGGACGGAGAAGGCUAUGUUGGCCGGGCGACGGUUGUCCCGGUUUAAGCGUGUAGGCUGGUUUUCCAGGCAAAUCCGGAAAAUCAAGGCUGAGGCGUGAUGACGAGGCACUACGGUGCUGAAGCAACAAAUGCCCUGCUUCCAGGAAAAGCCUCUAAGCAUCAGGUAACAUCAAAUCGUACCCCAAACCGACACAGGUGGUCAGGUAGAGAAUACCAAGGCGCUUGAGAGAACUCGGGUGAAGGAACUAGGCAAAAUGGUGCCGUAACUUCGGGAGAAGGCACGCUGAUAUGUAGGUGAAGUCCCUCGCGGAUGGAGCUGAAAUCAGUCGAAGAUACCAGCUGGCUGCAACUGUUUAUUAAAAACACAGCACUGUGCAAACACGAAAGUGGACGUAUACGGUGUGACGCCUGCCCGGUGCCGGAAGGUUAAUUGAUGGGGUUAGCGGUAACGCGAAGCUCUUGAUCGAAGCCCCGGUAAACGGCGGCCGUAACUAUAACGGUCCUAAGGUAGCGAAAUUCCUUGUCGGGUAAGUUCCGACCUGCACGAAUGGCGUAAUGAUGGCCAGGCUGUCUCCACCCGAGACUCAGUGAAAUUGAACUCGCUGUGAAGAUGCAGUGUACCCGCGGCAAGACGGAAAGACCCCGUGAACCUUUACUAUAGCUUGACACUGAACAUUGAGCCUUGAUGUGUAGGAUAGGUGGGAGGCUUUGAAGUGUGGACGCCAGUCUGCAUGGAGCCGACCUUGAAAUACCACCCUUUAAUGUUUGAUGUUCUAACGUUGGCCCCUGAUCGGGGUUGCGGACAGUGUCUGGUGGGUAGUUUGACUGGGGCGGUCUCCUCCUAAAGAGUAACGGAGGAGCACGAAGGUUGGCUAAUCCUGGUCGGACAUCAGGAGGUUAGUGCAAUGGCAUAAGCCAGCUUGACUGCGAGCGUGACGGCGCGAGCAGGUGCGAAAGCAGGUCAUAGUGAUCCGGUGGUUCUGAAUGGAAGGGCCAUCGCUCAACGGAUAAAAGGUACUCCGGGGAUAACAGGCUGAUACCGCCCAAGAGUUCAUAUCGACGGCGGUGUUUGGCACCUCGAUGUCGGCUCAUCACAUCCUGGGGCUGAAGUAGGUCCCAAGGGUAUGGCUGUUCGCCAUUUAAAGUGGUACGCGAGCUGGGUUUAGAACGUCGUGAGACAGUUCGGUCCCUAUCUGCCGUGGGCGCUGGAGAACUGAGGGGGGCUGCUCCUAGUACGAGAGGACCGGAGUGGACGCAUCACUGGUGUUCGGGUUGUCAUGCCAAUGGCACUGCCCGGUAGCUAAAUGCGGAAGAGAUAAGUGCUGAAAGCAUCUAAGCACGAAACUUGCCCCGAGAUGAGUUCUCCCUGACCCUUUAAGGGUCCUGAAGGAACGUUGAAGACGACGACGUUGAUAGGCCGGGUGUGUAAGCGCAGCGAUGCGUUGAGCUAACCGGUACUAAUGAACCGUGAGGCUUAACCUU